RNAcentral lists this ribosomal RNA (100 nucleotides) under uncultured bacterium. RNAcentral's name for it is "partial 16S ribosomal RNA". The record is from RNAcentral.
CGCCCUAAACGAUGCAUACUUGGUGUGAGUCAUUCAUUUGAUUCGUGCCGGAGCUAACGCGUUAAGUAUGCCGCCUAGGGUAAAACUAGUAACUGGGGCU